Molecule: ribosomal RNA, 465 nt
Filed under: uncultured bacterium
Lineage: Bacteria
Description: partial 16S ribosomal RNA
Rfam family: Bacterial small subunit ribosomal RNA
Source: RNAcentral
GACGAACGCUGGCGGCGUGCUUAACACAUGCAAGUCGAACGGAAAGGCCCUGCUUGCAGGGUCCUCGAGUGGCGAACGGGUGAGUAACACGUGGGUGAUCUGCCCUGCACUUCGGGAUAAGCUUGGGAAACUGGGUCUAAUACCGGAUAGGAGCCAUCUUUAGUGUGGUGGUUGGAAAGUUUUUUCGGUGUAGGAUGAGCUCGCGGCCUAUCAGCUUGUUGGUGGGGUAAUGGCCUACCAAGGCGGCGACGGGUAGCCGGCCUGAGAGGGUGUACGGCCACAGUGGGACUGAGAUACGGCCCAGACGCCUACGGGAGGAAGCAGUGGGGAAUAUUGCACAAUGGGCGCAAGCCUGAUGCAGCGACGCCGCGUGGGGGAUGAAGGCCUUCGGGUUGUAAACUCCUUUCGCUAGGGACGAAGCUUUUUGUGACGGUACCUAGAGAAGAAGCACCGGCUAACUACGUG